GAAGUUGUGCGUCGAACCCGUGUCCACGAGCGCGGUGAGACGCUCCCCGUUGAUCGUCACCGGAAGCAGCAUCGUCUUUGCCGUCUUGAUGCCAGCCAUGGCAUGAAGGGAGACGACGAAGGCGGUCGCGUCGACCGGCCCGUAGGUCGUGACGCCGGCCUCGGAGAGUGUGGUGGCGUCGAGCUCCGCGGUGAGGGCCUCCACCUCCGCGUCGUCGACGGUCUCCAAGUAGAACAGGCGGGCGCACGUAUGACCCGGCGCAUACGGCUCGUCGCAGUUGAAGCA
Molecule: long non-coding RNA, 285 nt
Filed under: Hordeum vulgare
Lineage: Eukaryota; Viridiplantae; Streptophyta; Magnoliopsida; Poales; Poaceae
Description: long non-coding RNA (HVUL_LNC002141)
Source: RNAcentral